GUGCUCGCUUUGGCAGCACAUACACUAAAAUUGGAAUGAUAUAGAAAAGCUUAACAUGGCCCCUGCACAAAGAUGACAUGCAAAUUCAUGAAGUGUUCCACUUUUUC
RNAcentral lists this small nuclear RNA (107 nucleotides) under Myotis davidii. The record is from RNAcentral. Lineage: Eukaryota; Metazoa; Chordata; Mammalia; Chiroptera; Vespertilionidae.